Molecule: ribosomal RNA, 468 nt
Filed under: uncultured bacterium
Lineage: Bacteria
Description: partial 16S ribosomal RNA
Rfam family: Bacterial small subunit ribosomal RNA
Source: RNAcentral
GACGAACGCUGGCGGCGUGCUUAACACAUGCAAGUCGAACGGAAAGGCCCUGCUUUUGUGGGGUGCUCGACUGGCGAACGCGUGUGUAACACGCGAGUACCCUGUCCUUGGCUCUGGGAUAUCUUCAUGAAACAGGGGCUCUUACAGCAUAUGAGCUCCUGCUGCACGGUGGGGGUUGGAGAGUUUCGGCGGUUGGGGAUGGGCUCGCGGCUUAUCAGCUUGUUGGUGAGGUAGUGGCUUACCAAGGCUUUGACGGGUAGCCGGCCUGAGAGGGUGACCGGCCACACUGGGACUGAGAUACGGCCCAGACUCCUACGGGAGGCAGCAGUGGGGAAUAUUGCACAAUGGGCGGAAGCCUGAUGCAGCAACGCCGCGUGCGGGAUGACGGCCUUCGGGUUGUAAACCGCUUUUGGCUGGGAAGAAGCGAGAGUGACGGUAACUGGUGAAAAAGCACCGGCUAACUACGUG